CAAUAGCGUAUAUUAAAGUUGUUGCAGUUAAAAAGCUCGUAGUUGGAUUUGUGGCGUACGGUGUGUUCCGGGCACUUGUUGUCUGAGUAACCUGCUGUUGCCAUCCUUGGGUGGAACCUGUGUGGCAUUAGGUUGUCGUGCAGGGGAUGCCCAUCAUUUACUGUGAAAAAAUUAGAGUGUUCAAAGCAGGCUUAUGCCGUUGAAUGUAUUAGCAUGGAAUAAUGAGAUAGGACUUUUUUGCUAUUUUGUUGGUUUGCGCAAGAAGGUAAUGAUUAAUAGGGACAGUUGGGGGUAUUCGUAUUCCAUUGUCAGAGGUGAAAUUCUUGGAUUUUUGGAAGACGAACUACUGCGAAAGCAUUUACCAAGGAUGUUUUCAUUAA
RNAcentral lists this ribosomal RNA (380 nucleotides) under uncultured eukaryote. RNAcentral describes it as "partial 18S ribosomal RNA". It matches the Rfam family "Eukaryotic small subunit ribosomal RNA", at positions 592 to 976 of the family's 1831-position model. The record is from RNAcentral.